Molecule: ribosomal RNA, 1335 nt
Filed under: Bacillus licheniformis
Lineage: Bacteria; Bacillati; Bacillota; Bacilli; Caryophanales; Bacillaceae
Description: partial 16S ribosomal RNA
Source: RNAcentral
CUUCACGCAGUCGAGUUGCAGACUGCGAUCCGAACUGAGAACAGAUUUGUGGGAUUGGCUUAGCCUCGCGGCUUCGCUGCCCUUUGUUCUGCCCAUUGUAGCACGUGUGUAGCCCAGGUCAUAAGGGGCAUGAUGAUUUGACGUCAUCCCCACCUUCCUCCGGUUUGUCACCGGCAGUCACCUUAGAGUGCCCAACUGAAUGCUGGCAACUAAGAUCAAGGGUUGCGCUCGUUGCGGGACUUAACCCAACAUCUCACGACACGAGCUGACGACAACCAUGCACCACCUGUCACUCUGCCCCCGAAGGGGAAGCCCUAUCUCUAGGGUUGUCAGAGGAUGUCAAGACCUGGUAAGGUUCUUCGCGUUGCUUCGAAUUAAACCACAUGCUCCACCGCUUGUGCGGGCCCCCGUCAAUUCCUUUGAGUUUCAGUCUUGCGACCGUACUCCCCAGGCGGAGUGCUUAAUGCGUUUGCUGCAGCACUAAAGGGCGGAAACCCUCUAACACUUAGCACACAUCGUUUACGGCGUGGACUACCAGGGUAUCUAAUCCUGUUCGCUCCCCACGCUUUCGCGCCUCAGCGUCAGUUACAGACCAGAGAGUCGCCUUCGCCACUGGUGUUCCUCCACAUCUCUACGCAUUUCACCGCUACACGUGGAAUUCCACUCUCCUCUUCUGCACUCAAGUUCCCCAGUUUCCAAUGACCCUCCCCGGUUGAGCCGGGGGCUUUCACAUCAGACUUAAGAAACCGCCUGCGCGCGCUUUACGCCCAAUAAUUCCGGACAACGCUUGCCACCUACGUAUUACCGCGGCUGCUGGCACGUAGUUAGCCGUGGCUUUCUGGUUAGGUACCGUCAAGGUACCGCCCUAUUCGAACGGUACUUGUUCUUCCCUAACAACAGAGUUUUACGAUCCGAAAACCUUCAUCACUCACGCGGCGUUGCUCCGUCAGACUUUCGUCCAUUGCGGAAGAUUCCCUACUGCUGCCUCCCGUAGGAGUCUGGGCCGUGUCUCAGUCCCAGUGUGGCCGAUCACCCUCUCAGGUCGGCUACGCAUCGUCGCCUUGGUGAGCCGUUACCUCACCAACUAGCUAAUGCGCCGCGGGUCCAUCUGUAAGUGGUAGCUAAAAGCCACCUUUUAUGAUUGAACCAUGCGGUUCAAUCAAGCAUCCGGUAUUAGCCCCGGUUUCCCGGAGUUAUCCCAGUCUUACAGGCAGGUUACCCACGUGUUACUCACCCGUCCGCCGCUGACCUAAGGGAGCAAGCUCCCGUCGGUCCGCUCGACUUGCAUGUAUUAGGCACGCCGCCAGCGUUCGUCCUGAGCCAGGAUCAAACUCA